CCUGAAUUUCAGGUGGCUGCAGUGAGUUGGCUCACUACCGCCAUACACAAACAUUCAGUGUCCAGGGAGCUGCAAUCCUACAGGGACGCUGCGAGUCAGUGCAAUAUUGAAAUGCAGAGUAGAGUUAUUUGGAGAAAAGAAAUUAAAUGUCUGAGUAGUCACUACUUCAACACAAAAAGUGAUUUUCUUUCUUGUCAGUCAUUUUGUUACUUUACUUAAGUGACAACUUCACCUAACGCAGUCGGCUCUUCCGCCUUUGACACUUCGGCAGCUGACGCCGAAAAGCAAUGUUGAUAUUUGGGAAUAAUCGCUGAUUAAGUCGAUCGGAAAGAGGCGAAAUUAUCCUGGAAAGUCGUCCACAUGGAUGCAAAAAUGGUUUCCUGUGAAAGAAAUGUGGAUUCUUGUAAAAGAAGUCAAAUAAAACGUGACGCCAAAUAAACGUUUAAUCCUCGUUGGCGAAAUCGCAUUAAUCAUAUAGAAAAUGAAUGUCAAGGAAAGCUGCAUUGUGGCACUGAAGUUUAUUAUCAAGCCACGUGGAAGUGAGGAGAAUGUGUUUAGGAAGUGGCUUGCGACAUUUAAGGGACAAUAUUCUACCACUCGGAAAUGCUACAGGAAAAAGGCUCUGGGUUAUUCCAUGUCCUGUUCCUGAGUACCUGUACAUUCUCUCAGGGCUCAAAGUGCUGACUGCAUGCUGGAACACGGCACACAGCCUACAGGAAGCCCACACAGGAAACGGCCACUGCAUUGUUGCUCCUGUCCGCCGGGAAUCCAGCCGCUCCUUCAGUGUUGUUUCAGAGUUUCAGGAGCGUGUCACAUUUCGCCCCCUACGCACACUCGUACAAAGGCUAGACGUCCUUUUGCUCGACUGCAUCUGGCAUUGGUGUUUGUGUGAAUAGGAAGAGGAAGCAAUAUAUGUCUUGGCCCAUUCCACAUGGGUGCACUGCUUCCUAUAUUUCUUACAUUCCUGUUUUAUUGGCAUGUAAAUACUAAAGCUGCCAUUGUGCAUUUUUGUUUUUUAUUUAACCUACUGUAGUCAGUUUUUUGUCUUUUACAUUAUAAAUUGUGAAGUAAAAAUGUCUAUGUGUAUGUUAUUUAUGGCCUUUGCAAAUUCCAUAAUGCUGUUGUUGGCUGUCAUUCUGUCAGGUACUGCUCAAAUUCCUACCUCUGGUUUGUUCAUCACUUGCUUGCAACCCGAGUAAACCCAAAUGCAGUUUUAAAUGAUAUUUAUUGAAGCAAAAAAAAAAAAAAAAAAAAAUUCCUAUACCAACUGGGCCUUUGUAAAAAUGUAUUUGCCCCUGUUACUAAUUCCCCAAAUCUAUGACACUGCAUUCAUAAUGGGGUUUGGCUGGACUAGACGCAACCGGGCUUGAUUACUGCAAACCCACUUCAAUCAAAUCAACACUUGAACAGCAUGAAGUUGGUUAAUAGGUCUUACCCAGUUGCACACUAUGCCAAAAUUUAAAGAAAUUCCAGAAAUGGUGAGGAAGAAGGUGAUUGAAAUACAGCAGUCUGGGAAGGGUUAUACAGCUAUUCCAAAUACAAUGCGACUUCAAAGAACAACAGUGAGGGUCAUUAUCUCCAAAGGGAAAAACUCGGCUCAGUAGUGAACCUUCCCAGAAGUAGCCGACCUUCCAAAAUUAAUCCAUGAGCACAGCAACGACUCAUCCAGCAAGUCACAAAAGAGCCAAGGACAACAUCAAAGAACCUACAGGGCUGUCUUGCUUCAAUAAAGGUCACUGUUCAUGACUCCUCUAUCAGAAAGACACUGGGUAAAAAUGGCGUCUAUGGAAGCGUGGUGAAAUGAAAACCACUGUCGACCCAGAAUAACAUUAAGGCUCGUCAGAAUUUUGCCAAAACACACCUCGAUGACACACAAACCUGUUGGGAGAAUGUUCUGUGGAUUGAAGAGUCGAAACUAUUUGGAUGACAGGGGUCCCGUUAAAUCUGGCGUAAACCAAACACAGAAUUCCACAAAAAGAUAAUCAUCCCUACGGUCAAGCAUGAUGGUGGAAGUUUGAUUGUGUGGGGAUGCUUUGCUGCUUCAGGGUCUGGGCAACUUGCAGUAAUUGAGGGAAACAUGAAUUCUGCUCUCAACCAGAAAAUCCUAAAGGAGAAUAUUCUGUCUUCAGUGCGUAAGUUGAAACUCAAGUGCGACUGGAUUAUGCAGCAAGACAAUGAUCCAACGCAUAGGUGUAAGUCCACCGCUGAAUGGUUUAAAAAAAAUUUAAAAAAAGGCAAAAUGAAAGUUUUGGAGUGGCCUAUUAAAAGUCCGGACUUGAACCAAUUGAGAUGCUGUGGCAGGACCUUAAACGGGCAAUUCAUGCUUGAAAACUCUCCAGUGGAGCUGAAAUAAAGCAGUUCUGCAAAGAAGAGUGGGCCAAAAUUCCACCACAGAAAGACUGAUCUCCAGUUAUCAGAAGCAUUUGGUUGCAGUUAUUGCUGCUAAAG
Ictalurus punctatus (channel catfish) is the source of this 2448-nucleotide long non-coding RNA. Lineage: Eukaryota; Metazoa; Chordata; Actinopteri; Siluriformes; Ictaluridae. The record is from Ensembl.